GACGAACGCUGGCGGCGUGCUUAACACAUGCAAGUCGAACGGAAAGGCCCUGCUUUUGUGGGGUGCUCGAGUGGCGAACGGGUGAGUAACACGUGAGUAACCUGCCCUUGACUUUGGGAUAACUUCAGGAAACUGGGGCUAAUACCGGAUAGGAGCUCCUGCUGCAUGGUGGGGGUUGGAAAGUUUCGGCGGUUGGGGAUGGACUCGCGGCUUAUCAGCUUGUUGGUGGGGUAGUGGCUUACCAAGGCUUUGACGGGUAGCCGGCCUGAGAGGUUGACCGGCCACAUUGGGACUGAGAUACGGACCAGACUCCUACGGGAGGCAGCAGUGGGGAAUAUUGCACAAUGGGCGGAAGCCUGAUGCAGCAAUGCCGCGUGCGGGAUGACGGCUUUCGGGUUGUAAACCGCUUUCGCCUGUGACGAAGCGUGAGUGACGGUAAUGGGUAAAGAAGCACCGGCUAACUACGUG
This 468-nucleotide ribosomal RNA is filed under the name uncultured bacterium. RNAcentral describes it as "partial 16S ribosomal RNA". It matches the Rfam family "Bacterial small subunit ribosomal RNA", at positions 28 to 507 of the family's 1533-position model. The record is from RNAcentral.